RNAcentral lists this ribosomal RNA (292 nucleotides) under uncultured bacterium. RNAcentral's name for it is "partial 16S ribosomal RNA". The record is from RNAcentral.
GGACUACUAGGGUUUCUAAUCCCGUUCGCUCCCCUGGCUUUCGUGUGUGAGCGUCAGGAACGCGCCAGUGCACUGCCUUCGCCUUUGGUGUUCCCCAUGAUAUCAACGGAUUUCACCCCUCCACCAUGAGUUCCGUGCACCUCUCGCGCCCUCGAGCCUUGCCGUUUCCCUUGCGCGCCGUAGGUUAGGCCCACGGAUUUUACAAGAGACUAACAAGGCCGCCUGGACACCCUUUACGCCCAGUGAUUCCGGGUAAUGCUUGGGGCCUCUGUAUUACCGCGGCUGCUGGCAC